UGUCCACAGAGAACCUGGUUUGAAACAUGGGUCCUGAUUCUUCAGGACACCUGUGAACAUGUACACUACACGUAGGGACUGGGUGGGCUACUUUUGCUUUUUGUUUUAUUUUCCUAAUCCAGCAUCAGGUGUCAGACCAGAGCCCUCAUGAUACAAGUUACGACUGCAUAUAACAAAGUCCAGAGGCGAGCGGGAGGUGGGAUCAGUAAACAGGACCACGUCACCAGGCAUCCCCUUGUGCUGGUGCACAUGGAAGCUGCUGUCACAUGUCCUGCACGUGUAUGUCACUCAGUGGCUAUCCAUAAAGAGACGUCAUAGGUGGAGAACCCCAGAAGACCUCGAUCUUUUAAAGACCAGCAUCUUUUUGAGAAUGAAGAAACCAUGUGGUGAAAAGUCAUGGGCCUCCCAUAGCCAUGCAUGUCUGAGUGGGCAGUUCUUCGAGCUAAACACGGAACCCAUGGCACCACUUGUGCCAAGAAUUUGUCAACUUGUAUCAAACAUCCACACGACAGUCAAUUUUCUUUUCUUGUUCAUCCUCAGACGUGUAAAAUAAAACCACGGACCUGUAGAGCUGGAAGGAUCCGUGAACUGAGAGCAGUAUCUGGAGAAGGGUGCAGUGGGCGGUGGGAUGCCAUCCUAGCUCACCCGUCCCACCCCUGCCUGCCCAUCCAUCCAGGCCUUGCAGCCCGCACACAGGGCUGUCUCGCUCCCUGCACUGCUCUGCCUGCAGAUCUCCAGAGACUUACAGAUUUGAAUGAGACCGGACAACAAGAGGAAACGGUUCUUUCCAGAGCUGAGCUGGCUUCAUUUGCAUAUGAUUCGGGGCAAGGGGUUCCGCUGAACCCCAAGACAAUCUAGGGCUUGUGGUUACUGUGCCGUAUGCAGUGCCUAACACUGGCUGCAAAAGAAGUGUCAUUCUGUUACAGGAAAUCCACUUCAAGUAAUGGAAGAGACUCAUUUUUCCAUAAGAAAACGUUUGAUCAAGAGCGGAGUAUUCAUCAGGGAUGCAGUUGAAUUUCAGUUCCAAAGCUGUCACCGUAAUAUUCUGGAGCCUUGCAGCCCCAAGUGGACACGUACAUUUACAGAUCUUGCGGGGGAUUUUGCAAACCACAAUGGUAGUAAUGGACGACGCUCACGGGAAGUCAUAAAGGAGCUCAGUGUGGUCACGGCCCAGGUGGGAUGUAGUACCACGGAAACGCUAAUGCCCAUCUUGGGAAAGUGGACCCCAUGUGCCAGCAGGGCAGCCAGUGACGGGAAUCCAGGCCAGCAACCGGGGCACGCGGACAGCAGACGGCUUCAGUGCAAAUAUAUGACACGUACUAUCUUCAGCUCGGAGUCAUGGGGGAUCGCAGGCGGCCGCCUGGCCCAUGCUCUGGAAGACCGUGGAGCAUGUGCACCUCGCAGGGGAAGCGCCUGGGCUGUGCCUGUCACCCACCCCACGGGGACAGAAAUCAAACAGAAGAGAACCACCGGAUGAGAUUUACGGUAACAGAAAUCACUGCUCGCUAACUUUUAAGUUAGGCUCUGGAAUACAAAACACAGUUCUGAUUGAAAUGGGUAUAAAAGCAGAUUAACGGGGAUGCCUUUUGGUCCCCGGUUCACAGAACCAUCAAAAGCACUCGUUCAAAGAUUUCAGGUCAAUACCUCUUUCCUGUUGGCCAGUUUGGACAGAAAAGAUUCAAAUCCACCUGGAACCUCUGGCCCCACCCAGUCUGCGUGACAGAGCGGAGGGCACAGGUGCAUCGGGCUCCCGCGUCUGUCCCUGAACCACGAAAACUCCGUGGUGUACUGAGUCCUCCAGAGUGGCUGUCACUCUUGUCCCCGGGCUCCCCCCAGUUCAAUUCAGAGCCUGACAGAUGUUUGCAAUCACAUGUGAGGGGACGGCUGGUCAGGGAAAUAGAGAAAUUCUGUUUUCAAGAUUGAAUUAAACUUAAAAAGAAAGUUUCUCA
Acinonyx jubatus (cheetah) is the source of this 1949-nucleotide long non-coding RNA. RefSeq lists it as uncharacterized. The record is from RefSeq and is a predicted model, not a curated record. The transcript has 3 exons. Lineage: Eukaryota; Metazoa; Chordata; Mammalia; Carnivora; Felidae.